GACGAACGCUGGCGGCGUGCCUAAUACAUGCAAGUAGAACGCUGAAGGAGGAGCUUGCUCUUCUGGAUGAGUUGCGAACGGGUGAGUAACGCGUAGGUAACCUGCCUGUUAGCGGGGGAUAACUAUUGGAAACGAUAGCUAAUACCGCAUAACAGUAGAUGUUGCAUGACAUUUACUUAAAAGGUGCAAUUGCAUCACUACCAGAUGCACCUGCGUUGUAUUAGCUAGUUGGUGGGGUAACGGCUCACCAAGGCGACGAUACAUAGCCGACCUGUGAGGGUGAUCGGCCAGACUGGGACUGUGACACGGCCCAGAGGCCUACGGGAGGCAGCAGUAGGGAAUCUGCGGCAAUGGACGGAAGUCUGACCGAGCAACGCCGCGUGAGUGAAGAAGGUUUUCGGAUCGUAAAGCUCUGUUGUAAGAGAAGAACGAGUGUGAGAGUGGAAAGUUCACACUGUGACGGUAUCUGACCAGAAAGGGACGGCUAACUACGUG
This 495-nucleotide ribosomal RNA is filed under the name uncultured bacterium. RNAcentral describes it as "partial 16S ribosomal RNA". It matches the Rfam family "Bacterial small subunit ribosomal RNA", at positions 28 to 507 of the family's 1533-position model. The record is from RNAcentral.